GCCAGACUCCUACGGGAGGCAGCAGUGGGGAAUAUUGCACAAUGGGGGGAACCCUGAUGCAGCGACGCCGCGUGGGCGAGGAAGUAUUUCGGUAUGUAAAGCCCUAUCGGCAGGGAAGAAGAAAUGACGGUACCUGAAUAAGAAGCACCGGCUAAAUACGCGCCAGCAGCCGCGGUAAUACGUAUGGGGCAAGCGUUAUCCGGAUUUACUGGGCGUAAAGGGAGCGCAGGCGGCGCGCCAAGUCUGAUGUGAAACCCCGGGGCUCAACCCCGGGACUGCAUUGGAAACUGACAGGCUGGAGUGUCGGAGAGGCAGGCGGAAUUCCUAGUGUAGCGGUGAAAUGCGUAGAUAUUAGGAGGAACACCAGUGGCGAAGGCGGCCUGCUGGACGAUGACUGACGCUGAGGCUCGAAAGCGUGGGGAGCAAACAGGAUUAGAUACCCGUGUACA
Molecule: ribosomal RNA, 449 nt
Filed under: uncultured bacterium
Lineage: Bacteria
Description: partial 16S ribosomal RNA
Rfam family: Bacterial small subunit ribosomal RNA
Source: RNAcentral